Panthera uncia (snow leopard) is the source of this 2723-nucleotide long non-coding RNA. RefSeq lists it as uncharacterized. The transcript has 6 exons. Lineage: Eukaryota; Metazoa; Chordata; Mammalia; Carnivora; Felidae. The record is from RefSeq and is a predicted model, not a curated record.
CGCAGUGUCGAGCGUGGGCCCGGGCUGCUCGGGCCGCGCGGGCACCGGCGAGCGUCGUCCGCGGCGCGCAGUGGGCUGUCAGGGAAGGCUCGUGGGGACCCGCCGCGCCUCCGGCCUCGCCCCACGGCCGCGCUCCCCGCCGCCCGCCCUCCCGCGCGUCAGGCUAGGAGACGACUGGCUCGGCGCCUAGCCACCGCGGACGCGACAGGGAAGCAGCACUUUCGGGGACUCGGCUGGCGCGUUCGAGCCCUUCUUCCAGCGAAUCGUGGCUCACCCGUCCCUCGCACCGGACAUCGUCCCUGUCUGUUCCCGGCCGGUCCUCACUGCCCCCCGGGAGCCCUUUCCGAAGUAGCAGCGCCCACCCGCUGGCUUGACUGGCUGCGGCGCGUUGUGUUCUUUCGGGGCGCCGGGCAGGAGCCCCCCACGUCCGACGACAAAUAAAGCCUCCGCGGAGAAGCGCUGGGUAGAAUAGCAGCUCUCCUCAAGUCAGCCGCCACCUCCCCUCUGUCCUCGACCCUUUCUGCCCUGAACCACCCAGCCGGGCACACACACACAGGGGCCAUGGUGCCAGUCUGCAGUAGGAGACAGAGAAGGAAACAGUCACGCGGGGUAUGAGAGUCCAGCAAGCUUGGCGCUGCUCCCCAAAUGUCCCAAGUUCCGCACAAAAGCAUGAGGAGUCGGUGGUGGCCCCUUCAGAUUUCUCCUUACCCCUUUGGUUACUGUUUUCUGCCUUGUUACUGUGUUGUCCUGUUCCCCUGCACUGUGACUUUGUUGCUGGUCCCCCCUCCAGGGCCAGAGGGGUGCCCUUCCAGCCCAGACACCUUGAGGGGAUGAUGAGCCAUUCUCACUCCGCCCAGUCCCCUGGGGAGCCCCAAACCGUGUCCCUCAGCUGUCUCCUCUCCUUGUUCUUUAUGUCCUUAUCAUUUUAUUCACCAGGAGGUAAAGUUCUCUCAUUUAAAAAAAAAAAAUUUUUUUUAACGUUUAUUUUACUUUUUUGAGACAGAGACAGAGCAUGAAUGGGGAAGGGUCAGAGAGAAGGAGACACAGAAUGGGAAACAGGCUCCAGGCUCUGUCAACACAGAGCCCGAUGAGGGGCUCGAACUCACGGACCGCGAGAUCAUGACCUGAACCGGAGCCGGCUGCUUAACCAACUGAGCCACCCAAGCUCCCCAAAAGUUCUCUUAAUUUUCAGCAAACUGUGGCCCUUGCCCCCAUUUUACGCCUUGGCAGGAAGAGCCCUGGAGGCCCGGCAGAGCAACGAGCCACUUGCAGAGGAUGAGAAGGGCCCAUUUCCCACUGGACAUCCACUUGGGAGGAAGAUGCAGUGUCAUGACAACUGUGGUCACCCCCAGGCCACUGAGCCUUGAGAAGACAUGGCAGGGGGUCACCUGAGGCUGCUUCCACAAGCCAGGUCUCAGUGAGGCCUCGGGCCACUCAGGUGGGACUCAAGGGGAUCUUUUCCCACGGCGAUGCACCUGGGCUGUCCACCAGGCCUCCAAGCUCCCACAUCCUAUGUUCUAUGAAAUCCAUGUGAAUGUUGCCCUGGAGAUGGAAAGAACCUGCGGCAGCUUUGAAUGCAAUUUACAUGCAAGAGGGAGAACAGGUCACCCCAGAAAGCCCGUGACGUCUGAGGUUUGCUCCCUCUGAUGCCCAGGUGCCGAUGUGGCGCUCGGGGAUGCCCCGGAUCCGGGCGUACAUGACCAGCGUCUCCCAGCCCGUCAUGUGGUUGAGCAGGGUGUCAGACUGGGGACAGUAGCCCACCCACUGCCGCACCUGGUGGGGGGGAGGCACGUCAGAAGGAAAGCCGCCCACUGCACGGGGGGCCCGGACGCCUGCCUGGCCUUGCCCCACCCCGGGCUCCUGCUCUGCCCCGUGCAUCCCCACGUUUGCCAUGUAGACAGACGUGUGCCCGGCUGCGGCGCUCGCUGGCGGGGUCUGUGGACGGGGCACACGAGGGGCCCUUCUGCUUGGCCAGCAUGAAACCUCAGUGCUCAGCGCCUGCCUGCCUCGUGCCCUUCCAGAUGCCAGACUGCUCUGGACACCACCGUCUGGGGCGGGGUGGGCAGCUCUGACCGGGUGCAGACCUGAAAACCGCCUGGAUGGAAUGAACUAGGGGACAACGUGCCAGGACAUCCCACAACCGAGGGCAGGGCUCCCCCUGAAGACAGACGCCACCGGGCAGGAGCAAAGUGCCGGGAGGAAACAUGGACUUGACAGAAGAGGCUUCGAGCAUCUCACUAUGAGACAUGAAGAUUUCUGACGUGUGCCAAAAUGCUUGGUGUGAUUUUUGGGAAACCCAGCAAGAGCUCAGCUGCCUCGUGAAAUGCAUCUGCGGAAGGGGUGAGUUUAGAGGCCGGAGGGAGACACGGUUUACAGGGGAGCUGGGGCCUGACCGCAGGGUCUGGUGGGCCCGCUGUGAGGUUGUCUGAACGUCAUGGUACAAACGGAUAACGAGACUCGGGACCCGCCUCUAUAGUUUGUGGAGACAAAAACCAUCAUUUGCGAUGCUGUACGUCACCACGUACCUGGAAAGGCCACAAGAAUCAACCAGAGUAAGAAAUGAAGGCAAGGUGAGCCAAUUGGCUGGUUGUGAAGUAAAUAUGCAGAAACUGGGGCCCCUUAGAGGUUUAGAGAAACCAAUUUUUAGAUUUGUGUUACGUUAAAAAAACGGAAUACCGAACGAGGUUGUAAAGAAAUUGAGCUACGUUUAAAAAAUAUUAAAU